CGGGGGGAGCAAGCGUUGUUCGGAUUUACUGGGCGUAAAGGGCGCGUAGGCGGCCACCGCAAGUCGACUGUGAAAUCUCCGGGCUUAACCCGAAAGGUCAGCCGAUACUGCGGGGCUAGAGUGCAGAAGGGGCAACUGGAAUUCUCGGUGUAGCGGUGAAAUGCGUAGAUAUCGAGAGGAACACCUGCGGCGAAGGCGGGUUGCUGGGCUGACACUGACGCUGAUGCGCGAAAGCUAGGGGAGCGAACGGGAUUAGAUACCCCGGUAGUCCUAGCCUUAAACGAUGAAUGCUUGGUGUCUGGGGUUUUAUAGUCCCCGGGUGCCGUCGCUAACGCUUUAAGCAUUCCGCCUGGGGAUACGGUCGCAAGGCUG
RNAcentral lists this ribosomal RNA (372 nucleotides) under uncultured organism. RNAcentral's name for it is "bacterial SSU rRNA". It matches the Rfam family "Bacterial small subunit ribosomal RNA", at positions 526 to 896 of the family's 1533-position model. The record is from RNAcentral.